Non-coding RNA from Triticum urartu, 115 nucleotides. Lineage: Eukaryota; Viridiplantae; Streptophyta; Magnoliopsida; Poales; Poaceae. The record is from Rfam.
GUAGUACUCCCUCCGUUCCAAAUUACUCGUCGCAGAGAUGAAUGUAUCUAGAACUAAAAUACAUCUAGAUACAUAUAUACCUGCGACAAGUAAUUCGAAACGGAGGGAGUACAUG